GUCAAAGAAGUCAGUGGGGGGUGUCAGGCUUGGAAGGGUCCUCCACAGGGGCCUGUCACUGCCCUUACCCUCUGGUCUUCCCCAGCCAGGCUCCCUUCUGUACCAUGGGAUGCCUACUUUGCUCCUCUGGGCCCUGCAGGGACUUCCCAGAGACUCAUGCUAGGGCUGCUCCUGACCCCCCAGGAAGCCAGGCCCCGGAGGAUGGGGUGGGAGACCUCAGAAUUUGGAACAGUGUGUUCCCAGCAGAAUCACCCCACUCGUGAAAAUUUUGUUUGAGUAGAUAUGAGAUAGAGCCUGGUACCUGUUUCUUCUCUCUUCUCUCUUAACAUUUAAAGUCAAUUUUAUUGAGAUACAAUUUACAUGCAGUGAAAUACACUCAUGUUAAGGGUGCUUGCUCAGUGGAAUUUGACAAACAUACACGUCUGUAACCACCGCCACACUAGAGCUAUAGAAAAGGUCAUUACUUGGAAAUCUCUCUCAAGCCCUUUACAGCCAAUUCCCUGAGCCCAGCCUCAGGCAAGCACUGGUCAGCUGUCUGUCACUAGGGAUGAGUUUUGCCUGUUACAAAUGUCCUAUAAGUGGGAUCUUACUGCAUGUUUUUUUCUUUUUUGUUGUUGUUGUUGUUGUUCUUUUAGUCUGGCUUCUUUCACUUGGCAUUUGCGUUUUCUCUAAAUUGUUGCAUAUAUGUGUCAUUCGUUGCAUUUUACCGCCGAGUUGUCUCAUGGUAUGAAUAUGCCCCACUUUGUUUAUCUCUUCACCAUUUGGCUAUUGUGAACAAAGCUCUUAUGAACAGUCACAGCUGAUCUUUGUCUUUGUGUGGGCACUGGUUUCUCUUGGGUAGAUACCUCGGAGUGGAAUUGCUGGAUCAUAAGUGGUGAGAUGGCUUAGGUGAUUUAAUAAAGCUCCAUGAAGAAAAAAAAUAUAUACUUAUAUUGGCAUAAAGAGAUUCUUGUUAGAUAUGCAAGAAAUGAAUGAAUGUGGUUAUUACUUGGAAUGUUAGGAUAGGGGAAGGCUGGGCAGAUGGAGGGCAGUAAAGGAAGUGGGAGUCUUCACUGUAGAUCUUUUUAUAUUUUGAAUGUUUUGAGCCAGGCAACUGUAUUCAAGUUUUUUGUGGUUUUUUUUUUAAUGUAAAAGGUUCUUCCAAGUGAUUCUGAGGUGGAGGUUUUCCCUGUUUGGAAACUGCCGGUCAGGCUGCUGUUUUCUUCUGGACUUAGGGCCCAGAGCACAGGGCAAGGCUAACCAAUGUCACUGGCUAGUUAGAGGCAAAAGUGGCUAGUUUCAGCACCUGACAUGUUGGCAGAAUGUUUUACAGCUUCCCCUCCAGUGAGCUUACUCACUGAAUCCUCACCAGGAAAGAGAUUUUCUCCCCAUUUUACAGGUGGAGAAAGGGGCUCGGAGAGGACAAGCAACUUGCUAGAGCUUGGAGGCCCUUGCAGGCUUCUGGGUCUCAGCUUGGGGUCCAGCAAGGCCCCUGCAGCUCCUUCUGGUUUUAUGGUGGCUUCAUGAGCCCCUCCACCCAAAGCACAUUCAGUGUGAUGUUAUCUCAGGAAAUGUGGGAGAGACGUCUGUGGUGAAAUGAGGCUGGAAACUACUGAGUUAAAAAACAUAUCACAGUUUUUCACUGCAGGGCUUCUCAGGACCUUUACUAGACCAGUGUACACUGAGUCUCCAGUGGGUGAUAUGCUGUUGCCUACCCUUAUCCGACAUGUUUCAUGGAAUCCUGCUUGGGAGCCACUAACUUCUAGGAUAAAGUCCAACCUUGAAGGCAGGAUAUUCAGCACACUUUGCAACCUGGGGCAGCUUCUUUCUGCAGCCUCAGCUGGAAAUUUCUGACCGGGAGCAUCCGGCAGGACUGAGUAGGAAGCAGGACUUUGCAAGGCAGGAAGUGACUGCAGAAACAAGAGGAGGCGUCAGGAAGUGAAGCUUCCCCCUGGCUCCCUGCUCCCCACCUAGAACAAAGGCCUUGUCUGCCCUGCCCCCUCGGCGUCUUGGGGUUCAUGGGCAGGGAUCUAACCUUACCCGUUGUAACCAAACAGGGAAGUGUUGGAUUGAGGGAUGAUGCCGGGACCUCGCUGGCCUAUUCUGAGCACACAGCCCAUCAACGAUAUUAUCUUCUGCCAUCUGAAAGCCUAUGGAUUUUCCCAAAUGUCCCUGGCCUGGGGUUCCGGAUGAGGGUUUGUGCUCCCGGACAGGGGAGAGUCACCGUUUCUCUCGAAGAUUCUUUGUGCCCAUUCUCCUCUGUGGGGGCCCCAGGGUGGCUGGAGUUCAAGGAGAAAAGCCCCAGCGUCCUCAGCAGGACUCCACAGCCCCUCCCCAGUGUGCUGCCCAAUGUGCCUUUGGCCCCUCUGCCCAGAGCGGUCCUCCUCAGGCCCAUGGCGCACCCACUCACUUCCUGCAAGGCAUCUGCUCAAAAGUUUUCUUCCCAUGAGAGCCCCUUCUCCCUCCCUAGGUACAGCAUGGCCCCCAGCACUCCCAGGCCCCCAACCCACCCACUCAUGCCCUGGCACCCACACAAUCCCUGGCUAGCUAGACUCUGGUCUGUGUCCCCAUUGCAUCCUGACUCCUAUGCUGGGUCCACCAGGGCAGGGAUAUGAUGUUCCCUGCUGUGCGUGGUGCCUAGCACAUACUGGUGGGCAAUAACCACUUGCUGUCUGGAUGAAUGAAUGAACCAGAUUGAAUGAUCCCAGUUAUCCUUUGAGGUGGAGAUAUGGUUGUCUGCAUUUUACAGAUAAGACUCAAGAGAUGUUCUUGUCACUUGUGAGUAGCCCAAAUCAAACCCCAAUCUGCAUUACUCCAAAGCCCCACAGGCCUUCACACACGUGUGUGCACACACACACACAACACAGAUGCACACAUGCUUCCACAUGCACCCACACCCAUGCGUGCGCGCACGCACGCACACAUACACACAGUAGAUGUUCUCUCAGUUGUGUCAGACAACAUUGAAGUUCCUCCCUGGUCACUGUGGGAACCCCCCCGAACUGUUGGACUGACAGAGCAGCCGGAAGGGCCAGUGCUAGCCCCUCAGCCCCCAGAUCCCUCCGUUCCCUGGGGAUGGGGAGCUCAGAGCUCUUGAGGGCCUGAUUCUCUGUGCCCAGAGCCAGCAGGGCUGUGGCGCCCUCAGCCUGGGACCGCUGGCCAGGCAGCCUGCUUGCAGUGGAGCCCCUCUUCCAGCCUCUUGGGCCUGUCCUGCCCUUGCCCUGGCCCUGCCGACUUGGAUGAGCCACUUUCCUUCCUGCUUGGCUGGCUCCUUCUACCAUUCGGGUCUCCAAAGGGACAUCCCCUCCUCAGAGAGGCCCUCCCUGCGUGGCCAGCCCCUUGGACUGGGAUGGCCCCUCAGUGGACUCGGUCAUUGGGUCCCAGCUAUUGUUGUUUCCUUUGUCAUCUGGUCACAAUAUAUAGAAAUUUGUAAACAUCUCAGUGCCCCCUCCAUAAGUGGGGACUCCUGUCCUGGUCACUGCUGUGUCCCCAGGGCUCUGCACAGAACUGGACACAGUAAGUGCCCCGUCCAUGUGUGUAGAUGAAUAAAGGAAUGAAUGACCGCUGUCAGAGGGCUGCAGGAAGGACCUUGGCUAGACCAGCAUCUGGCAGGACUCUCCUCCACCAGGCCCCACCUCAUCUUGUUUCUUGCUGACUCUGAUAAUAAUAAUAAUCAUAAUAAAUAAUUACUAUUG
Long non-coding RNA from Manis pentadactyla (Chinese pangolin), 3674 nucleotides. RefSeq lists it as uncharacterized. Lineage: Eukaryota; Metazoa; Chordata; Mammalia; Pholidota; Manidae. The transcript is spliced from 3 exons. The record is from RefSeq and is a predicted model, not a curated record.